This is an RNA transcript of Aquila chrysaetos chrysaetos, 3375 nucleotides long. It is a transcript of the gene named tRNA methyltransferase 13 homolog, with no coding region annotated. The record is from RefSeq and is a predicted model, not a curated record. Lineage: Eukaryota; Metazoa; Chordata; Aves; Accipitriformes; Accipitridae. The transcript is spliced from 13 exons.
GGCGCCCGGCUCCCGCGGAGGAGGAGCCUCAAGAUGGAGGCGAGGCGGUGACCGCAGGGGGUCCUGGGAAGGAAAUGGCGGCGGCGGAGCCGGGGCGAGGGACUCCAGUCCCAGCGCGAUGUGCCUACUUCGUGGAGAGGAAGAAGCGGUUCUGCAAGAUGACCCCGGCUGCUGGGAGGCGCUUUUGCGGAGAGCAUGGGCAGCAGGAGGAAGAAAAUGAUAGAAAAAGAAUUCCGUGCCCUCUUGAUCCAAAACACACUGUAUAUGAAGACCAACUACAAAAGCAUUUAAAAAAAUGUAAUUCAAGAGAGAAGCCAAAGCCAGUCUACUUUGUUCAAGAUAUUAAUGCAGGUUUAAAAGAUGUAGCAGAAAUACCAGAAAAACAAGUACCUAUCUCUUCUCUAUCCAAAGAAGAGCUGGAGAACUUAAUUAUCAAGUUGAAAAAAGCAAGUAAUGGCCUGGAACUUUGCCUUAAGGAACGAAUACUGUCCCACCAGGCUUUACAAGAAGCCUUAAAUGACCCAAAGAAUGGGGAAUCUGCUUUCAAACACUUGAAACAACAGGCUUCUAUUUUAGGUAACAUGGAAAAAUUACAUUUACUUGGUCCAGGAAGAUGUUUUGUUGAGUUUGGAGCUGGGCGAGGAAAGCUGUCUCAUUGGGUUGAUGUUGCUUUACAGAAUGUUGAAAAUGUUCAGUUUUUGCUUGUGGAAAGGGCAACUACAAGAUUCAAGGUGGAUGGAAAACAUAAAAGGAGAGAUUCUAUAUUUGAAAGGCUUCAAGUUGAUAUUCAACAUCUAUGUUUAAAGAAGGUACCUGUUCUGGAGAAGAAAAAACUACCAGUGGUAGGAAUUGGGAAGCAUUUGUGUGGUGCUGCAACAGAUCUUGCUUUGAGGUGCUUGGUUGAAAGUUAUACAGCUUGCUGUGAUGGAGAAAAUGAGCAGCCUGCACCAAAACGCUCUAGGACUGAUACGACAGAGGUGGCUUCUAAUAAUUCUGCUGAUAAUGAAGGCAACAAAGACGACUGUAAGCCUGUAGCUGGAAUUGUUAUUGCACUGUGUUGCCAUCACAAGUGUGACUGGACACACUAUGUAGGCAGAGAGUUCUUUAAAUCAGUAGGACUUGGACCAGUAGAAUUUCAUUAUUUUCAGAGAAUGAGUAGCUGGGCCACUUGUGGCCUGCGAGAAACCACAACCAAAGCCUCUACAAGUGAAGAUCAAACUAGUGACACAGAAGAACAUGAGCAAACAUUCAGCAAAACAGAGAGUGGUUCUGAUACUUUACAAGGGAUACUUACUGUUGAAGAACGAAAGGAGAUAGGUUGCCUCUGUAAACUGCUGAUUGAUCAUGGACGGAUUGAAUAUUUACAACAACGAGGAUACAAGGCUGUGCUACAGUAUUAUAUAGAGUCUACUGUGUCCUUGGAGAAUGUCCUGUUGACAGCUGUCCCAAGUCCAUCUUUGAUACCAGAGCCAACUCAUGUAUGACAGGAGAUAGAUUUGGAAUUGGUUUUAAGCCUUAUUGUAUCACUUAUUAUAUCACAAGCGGAUGAGUGGAUAAGAACAAGAGUGCAAAUGCCUGCAUCCUCCCAGCUUUGCAAGCCACAUAAAGGACUGUCAUAAAGAAUACAACAAUACUCAAAGGAAACCCCGUAUCCAUGAUAAUCACUUAACCUUUGGUUGAAAAUGUCAUUGGCGAGAAAUACUUGAUACUGAAUUUAUUGUUUGUUGUUUAUUGAAUGGAUUAUUUCAGCUCGUCCAAAAUACCACAUUAGAGCUGAUAAAUCUUAAGUAAGUUUGUAGUGAGGUUAACAUUAAAAUAAUCUUUUGAAGUAGGAUUUAAUAAUUAGAAUUUCAAUGCAAUGGAAUUGAGACUAAGAUGUGAGCUUUAAUCCUCAUUUACCUGUCAAUUGCAUCAGGAAGCUCCUGGAGUUUAUUUCCCCCCAUAUCUAACCAUUCUAGAUUUGGCAUGUUGAGAAGAGCUGAAGGGAUGGUAGUAAACUGAUUCAUGCACAAAUCUAUGUGUGAAAGCUUCUUUAAAUCACUGAGCUGAAAAGAAAGGGAGAUUUAAUGCAAGUUUGUAUAGCUGUUCCAUUACACCAGUGCUGUAAUAAUGUUGACUGAAAAAAAGAAACAAUUUAAAAACAUUACAACAUAUUCCAGAGUUAAUAAACACGGAAUAGUUUCUGAGUUACAUUAGCUGAUAUUGCCUAACAAUUACAGUUCUCCCCUGAAAGGUAGGUAGGUUUGAAACUGAUCAGGCAGAAGAACUUUAUCUCCCACCUGGUAGUAAGUGCCCUAACUGCUGAGAAGUUAAAUGCCAUGACUACAAUACAGAUAUACCCCAAGCCUUGAGAAGAAAAGGAAUUUUAAAGACACCACUGUCCUUAGUAUUUCAUACUCCAUGCAAUAUGCCAUUUUUCAUUAGUCAAAAUUUAGAUUUUUAUGGAUCACAUUGCAUAGACUGUAUCUUAGAGUGAACCUAGAACCUUCCAUGUUGUGAAGUCUAUGACUAUGGCAAGAUAUUCUAAAAAUUAAACAUAGCAUCACUCAGUAUUGCAACAUCUAAGUCCUUUGGUGAAUCAUGCCUGCAGGUGCUUUUACAAUGUUCAAGUGAUACAAAGAUGAUUUAUUGCAAAUCUGGUCCAAUGUCUAAACACUGAAUGCCACUCAAGUACACAUAACCAAAGCUUCACGGUGUUGACUUCACUGUAGUCUCAAUAGGACAGAACUAUGUAUUUGCUAUGAGCUGUUAAUUUAAAAGCUGUCACUCUACAUUACCAUGUAACCUGUAUCCACAUAGAUUUUAUAAAUUCUGGAUUCUGGUUAAUACCAUAUAUUUUCAUUUGAAGAUCUGUUGUUAGGUAUUACUGUUUGGACUCACUUAAUUUUGCAAGGCACUGAUUGCUGUCAUUGCCACUACUGUUUUUUUUAAAUAGAUUAAAACAAGUAAAUAUGGUUACAUACUUGUCAUCUCUAUCUAAGAGACUAAUAGUUAGAGAUGCAGGUCUCUUUCAUGUUUAGGUCAGUCCAAAUUAAAGCUCAAUAGUAGGUGAGGAGUUGUUUUUAUUCUCUCUUAAUUGCUUUCAACAGCGCAGAACAUUCAUUCAACUCGGUGCAGAGGCAGUUGUAUAAAUCACACAAAUGCUUUUCACAGCUAGCAGCUCUGGUAAAGAUGCUUACAGUUGUGUCCUGGUACAUGGUGUGAAUUUGUAUUCUCAACUAUAAAAGGGAACUUCUCUGCUAAGGUGUCAGAUCCUCAGUGGGGUAAAUCAGUGAAGACCUUCAGCCUAAACAAAUUAACAUCAAGUGUAUCACUGUCCUGUAUGCACUACCAAGUUAUUUUUCUGGACAAAAUAAAGAUUGUCUCCUUCAACCA